GGAUUUCACUGGAAUCGGUCAU
Molecule: non-coding RNA, 22 nt
Filed under: Rattus norvegicus (Norway rat)
Lineage: Eukaryota; Metazoa; Chordata; Mammalia; Rodentia; Muridae
Source: RNAcentral